This 253-nucleotide ribosomal RNA is filed under the name uncultured bacterium. RNAcentral describes it as "partial 16S ribosomal RNA". It matches the Rfam family "Bacterial small subunit ribosomal RNA", at positions 524 to 776 of the family's 1533-position model. The record is from RNAcentral.
GACGAACCGUGCGAACGUUGUUCGGAAUCACUGGGCUUAAAGGGCGCGUAGGCGGGCCAUCAAGUCCGGGGUGAAAUCCUCCAGCUUAACUGGAGAAGUGCCUCGGAUACUGACGGCCUCGAGGAUGGUAGGGGCAUCUGGAACGACCGGUGGAGCGGUGAAAUGCGUUGAUAUCGGUCGGAACUCCGGUGGCGAAGGCGAGGUGCUGGACCAUUUCUGACGCUGAGGCGCGAAAGCCAGGGGAGCAAACGGG